GGUAGAAUGGCUGAGUGAUAAGCGGCAGGCUGUAAUCCUGUUUACACAGGUUUAAUUCCUGUCUCUACUA
Molecule: transfer RNA, 70 nt
Filed under: Diplodactylus vittatus
Lineage: Eukaryota; Metazoa; Chordata; Lepidosauria; Squamata; Diplodactylidae
Description: tRNA-Tyr
Rfam family: tRNA
About the family: Transfer RNA (tRNA) molecules are approximately 80 nucleotides in length. Their secondary structure includes four short double-helical elements and three loops (D, anti-codon, and T loops).
Source: RNAcentral